Oryctolagus cuniculus (rabbit) is the source of this 6383-nucleotide non-coding RNA. The record is from RefSeq and is a predicted model, not a curated record. Lineage: Eukaryota; Metazoa; Chordata; Mammalia; Lagomorpha; Leporidae.
AAAUGGCUGCAACAGAUCAGGUCUGGGCCAGGCCAAAGCCAAAAGCCCGGAACUCAGUCUGGGUCUUCCAUGUGGAUGGCAGAGACCCAAACACAUGAGCCAUCAUCCACUGUUUCCCAGGAUGUGCAUUAGCAGGAAGCUGGAUUGGAAGCAAAGGCAGCCGAGACUCAAAGCAGGCACGCCGAGGCGGGAUGCGGGCAUCCUAAGAGCUGGCUGAACUGCUGAGCCAAACGCGGGCCUGGCUUCAGGCUCUUUGUUGUGAACAGUGUGGUGACGAACAUCCUCGUCACAUAAAUGCUGGUGCCUCUGUCCGUUCAUUCUUCACAGUAAAUUCCCAGAAGUGAAAUUACAGAAUGAAACAUGCAUUUUUUAAAAGAUUUAUUUAUUUACUUGAAAGUCAGAGUUACACAGAGAGAGAAGGAGAGGCAGAGAGCGAGAGAGAGAGAGAGAGAGAUUUUCCAUCUGCUGGUUUACUCCCCAGCUGGCCGCAACGGCUGGAGCUGCACUGAUCCGAAGCCAGGAGCUUCUUCCAGGUCUUCCCACAUGGGUGCAGGGGCCCAAGGACUUGGGCCAUUUUCCACUGCUUUCCCAGGCCAUAACAGAGAGCUGGAUCAGAAGUGGAGAAGCCGAGACUCGAACUGGUGCCCAUAUGGCAUGCCGGCACUGCAGGCGGCGACUUUCCUGUUAUGCCACAGCACCAGCCCCGAAACAUGCAUAUUUGAAGGUUUUUGACAAAUUUUGCCAUACUAUUUUAUUUAGACUGUAUCAGCACAACCGUGUCCUUUGACCUGGGUCUUGAUUCUGAAGUGUUUGUUUCCACUGUUUCUGCUCUCUGGCCGUUUGUUGGGUAAAAGAUGAUCUUCCUAUGACAGGUUGGGGAACCAGGCUUUCACUCCAGUAAUUUGUCUUCCUGAGGAAAUUUUGGCAAAUCUAAAAAUAUAUAUGCUGCUGUUUCUAAAACCCAGUGUUGGGGCUGGCACUGUGACUCAGCAGGUUAAGUUACCACUCACAACGCUGGCAUCCCGUAUCUGAGUGCCAGUUUGAGUCGUGGCUGUUCAACUUCCAAUCCAGCUUCCUGCUAAUGUGCCUGCAAAGACAGCAGAUGAUGGCCCGAGUACCUGAGUCCCUGGCACCUGUGUGGGAGACUUGGGUGCAGUUCCUGGCUUCUGGUUUUGACCUGGCCCAGCCCUGGAUGUUACAUGCAGCCUUUUGGGGGGUAAGCCCGUGGGUGGAAGAUUUCAGUCUCUCUCCAUCUUUCUCUCUUUCUCUCCCUCUUUCUCUGUUGCUCUGCCUUUCAAACAAAUAGUAAAUAAAUCUUUUUUUUUUAAAUCCCAGCAUUGAAAAUAUAGACUUCUUGUAGCUUUUAAUAAAAAUAAUAAUAAUGUAAUAGUCUAGAACUCUCUGAAGUAAGACUUGAGGCAUGAACAGCAGGAGCCCAGAAUCUUACCUACACAAACUCACUUUCCGUUGAUUGUAUCACCAUUUACUUUGACACAUAAUGGAACACAUCACCUUCCUUUGUGGAAAUUGUGUUUAUAAAACACUAAGCUGAUACUGCAAAGUCAGGCUGUACCCAAACCUUGAGAAUAGAGCUUUUCCGCAGAGAAAUCUGUGCCUGUGGUGCAAAUGUCUUCAUGCGUGUUUUAAAAUGCUUGUUUUGCUUUAUUUUUAAAUAACAUAUAGAAAGUUUUACACAUGGGCUUGGGGCCCAAAGUGAUAAUUAUUUUUAAAAAAUGUUAUUGAGACAGAAUUCACAUAUAUUUGGAUAUAAAAUUCACACUUUGAAGUGAACAAUUGAGUGAGUUUUAGCCUAUUCACAAGGUUGUGCAACCAUGACCACAAUUAAAAUAAAACUGUUCUCAUAAGCAUCGUUCCUCACGCCAUCCUUCCUGCUUCCCCUGACAGCGCUAACCCACUCUCUGUCUACGACUGCCUGUCCCGGGUCCUUCACACAAAUGAGAUUCCAUUACACUUUGUGGACCUUUCUGUCUGGCUUCUUUCACCUAGCCUAAUGUUUCCAUGUGAGAAAACCAGUUUUAGAAAAGUGAAAUUCAUACUGGCUGAUGAAGUAUUAAAUGGAGGUCAUUCUUUCUAAAUCCAGGAAAUUGAAAAACACGAGAGGAUCUAUUAGGAGCAGAGAGCAAUAGGAUGGAUUUCUGGUGGAGAUCAGGGAGUGGAAACAUUGAAAACGGAAAGAAAAAGGAAAAUCCAGGAAAGCAGAGCUGUGUUGACUGAAAUCGGUUUCAUGGACAAGGCUUUUCAAGUUUACUUUUUUGAUGAACUGGAAACAUGUCAUUCUAGAAGCAACGUGGUCGGUCCUAUUUUGGUCAUUGUGUAUUCUCUUGGCUCUUGGGGGUCAAACUUCUCAGAUACAGACUCCUUUUGUUAUCUGACAAAAUUGUGCUGGGUCACGUGUUCAUUUUUUCUUUUUCGAGAUUCAUUUUUAUUUGAAAGGCAGAGUGAUAGAGAGACACCUUGCAACUGCCGAUUCACUCCCCAAAUGGCCACAAUGGCCAGGGCUGGUCCAGGCUAAAGCCAGGAGCUUGGAACUCCAUUUGAGUCUCCCAUAUUGGUGGCAGGGCCCAAGCACUUGGGCUGUCAUAUGCUGCUUUCCCAGGUGCAUUAACAGGGAGCUGGAUUGGAAGUGGAGCAGCCAGGACCUGACCUGUGCUCACAUGGAAUGCUUGGUCGUAGGUGGUGCUUAACCUGAUAGACUGCAACGCCAACCCCUGUUGUUGUUUUCUAUGGCAUUUUUCUUGAGUGUCUGCGUGGCCUUUUGCAAAACAGUCGGUUUUCAUUUUCUCCCCAAAUGUUGGCAAUGGACAGUUGUUUCUGCAGAGGCUACUUCCUCAGCAGCACCUGCGAUCCCAAGAACCCCCAGGGACAAGGGAUUUGACUGCACUCCACCUUCCAAAUGCUAACUUGUCAUAGGCAGGUGUUGAGGAUGGCAUUUGUUUUGCUUAUUUUAGACCUCAGUCUUUGUGUUAGCAACUCUGCUUUAGCAUAUGUGUUUAUCUGAACAGAAUGGGAAGAAAGUGCAGCUGAUUUGAAUUUCAGAUGACUGAUGGUAAUGGCAUUGUGAACUUGAUUAUCAGCUCUUUGCCAUCUCUGUCCAGGGAGGGAAGCGGUGGUACAGAUAAUUAAACCUUUUGUUUGACUUUGGACUGCCCUGUCAUAUUCUGGCAGCCCACGUUUCCCUUAUAUUUCUCUGAAGGAAAGCUAGCCUUUAGACAGCAGGAUGCUUCCCUGGACUACUCGUAAACAGAAUGUGUGGUUGUUGGGAACCGAGUUGUGGAUUUCAGGCAUAGAUAUUCUCCGUGGAGGUGACAGAGGAGAUCUUGUGUGGGAAUGGCUGCCGCUUUUCCAUCGCGAGAGAAUUAGCAGCUGGGUGUUUUCCAGGAGUCACAGAGGCUUAGAGCUCCUGUUCUGCAUUUUAUGGAGGCAUUUGCCUUUAUGUAUGUUCUUAAAUUUCUCACCUUCACUAAAGUGAUUGCAUUUAAAGAAACAAGUAUUGCAUUAAAGAGGAAAAAUGUUCUACAAACUAUGGAAGACUUCCAUCUACCUCCUGGAGCUUAGCAGGGCCAUUUUGUGGUGAUUGUCAUUUUUUUUCUUUUAAAGAUAGCUAGCUAGCUAGCUAGAUUUAUUUAUUUAUUUAUUUAUUUGAAAGGCAGAGCGGCAGAGAGAGAGAGGGAGAGGUCUGCCAUCCACUGAUUCACUCUCCAAAAGGCUGCAACGGCCGGAGCUGGACCCAUCCAAAACCAGGAGUCAGGAGCUUCUUCCAGGUCUCCCACGUGGGUGCAGGGUCACAAGGACUUAGGCCAUCUUCCACUGCUUUCCCAGGCACAUUAGCAGGAAACUGGAUUGGAAUUGGAGUAGCCAGGAGUUGAACCAUUGCCCGUAUGGGAUGUCGACACUGCAGGCGGUGACUUUACCCGCUAUGCCACAGUGCCAGCCCCGUGUGACUGUCAUUUUUCAGCCUUUUUUAUUUUUUUUAUUUUUUAUUUUUUUUACAGGCAGAGUGGUCAGAGAGAGGAGAGACAGGGAGAGAGGUCUUCCUUUACCGUUGGUUCACCCUCCAAUGGCCGCUACAGCUGGCGCGCUGCAGCCGGUGUACCGCGCUGAUCCGAUGGCAGGAGCCAGGUGCUUCUCCUGGUCUCCCAUGGGGUGCAGGGCCCAAGCACUUGGGCCAUCCUCCACUGCACUCCCUGGCCACAGCAGAGAGCUGGCCUGGAAGAGUGGCAACCGGGACAGAAUCUGGCACCCCGACCAGGACUAGAACCCGGUGUGCCGGCGCCGCAGGCGGAGGAUUAGCCUAGUGAGCCGCGGCGCCGGCCCAUUUUUCAGCUCUUAAAGGUCUCAGGGUUUGAGACUGAAGUGUAGGCUCUACAAGGGGUGUUCCUGGCCCUGACGUAUCUGUCACAGACCUCACACGAGAACUGUGCUGCUUGAACUUCCCUGUGCCUUUCAGAGUUGGGGGAGGGGGAGAGACAGGCCAUGUGCUGCCAUAGGGAGAGGGGCAGGAGAUAGGAGGGGAGGGGAGUUAUUAAACGGAAGUGAAAUGUAUCGAAGAAAAGAUGUCUGUUCAAGGUUGCCUGAGGCUUUGAAGGUGGAGAUGUUGGAAAGAAGGGACUUUGUAUUUGUGCUGCCCUUGGCAUGGUGCAAAGGUGCCCUACGCAAAAGUAUCUGGGCUGUUUAAUGCCGUGCCAAGGUCAGCCUCCCCUGCAGCCCAGCUUCCCUUCUCUGCGGCAGGCUCUAGCCUGCGAGGGUGUCAUUCGUGAGUCGUGUCAUGGAAGACACAGGGUAAGGGAGUUGGACGUGUCCUCCCGUACCCGUGGUGCCUGCGUUUUCUCUUCUGCCCUGAAUUCUUGUGAUGCUCGGGGCUGAGGUGUCUUUUGCUUCGGGAGGGAGGGAGGGUGUUGAAGCCCUUGGAGAAGAUGAGUUUUCCCCAGAGGGGAGCAAAAAGUAAGAGGCGGAGACAAUCCACACGGUCAGUCAGAUAGUAUUUCCUGACUGUGUGCGGGGCACUGUGCUGGCCUGGGGGAUCAGAGGGGACAGGGUUGGCAAACAGCUGCUUGAAUAACUACUUCAUUAAAGUUAUGACACAGACCUCAGGGAAAUGUCAGGCACUGUAAGAUUAUUUAUCAGAUAAUUUUGCUGUAAAAACUCAUGACCCUGUUUUGCUUAAGAGAACAAACUUUUAGAGUGAGAAGGAAGGGAACCAGGGAAAAAUCAAAGGUGUCACAGCCAGAUUCAUGGUGCAUUACAGAAACCACGGAGAGACUUCAAGGGCAAGGUUGUGGUUGCCGUGGAGAUGUGAGGGCUGUGAAGGACGAUGAGGCUGGUUUACUGCCUGUGGUGAUUAAAAUGGUCCGAGAAAAGUUUGAGGAUUGAGAGCCAAAUCCAAAUUACAGAUUAAAAAGUGAGAGAGUGGUGAAACCCUGAGUGCUGUGAGAGCUCUCAGACUUACACUGUGGCCAAUUAACGUGAAAUACCUUGUGAUGUUCUGGUGUGUUUGCCUUGCCUGGCCGCCCCCCUCCCCCUCCCCGCUAGAUUGGCAGCUCCCUAAGGGUUGGGACCAGAAACCCACACUGGUGCUGAAUUAGCACGCAGCCGUCAGUCACCAGGGCAGGUCCUGGGCCUGAUCAUCUGUUUCCUCAUCUAUAAAAUGGUGAUAUUCCUAACUCCCCCGUAGAACAGGAUACACCACUCCUGGGCCUUGUGAGCGGAAAAUCAGUCGGUUAAUGGUAACAGCUGCUUCACUUAAAAAGUCCUGUGGUGAUUGGGUUUUGGUUGUUUGUUUCAGGUUUGUUCCUUAUAUUGGAAUUGUGACAAUUCUCAUGAAUGAUUAUCCUAAAUUUAAGUACGCCGUGCUCUUUCUGCUGGGCUUGUUUGUGCUGGUUCAUCGCGAGUAAGAAGCCUGCCUUGCCGCCUCUGGGAAGAUGCCGUACUUUCUGUUACCGAAUGCUUGGAGUAGAUUCUGGUCUCUGAUUGGUGGAGUGGAGAACACACGUGUUGGCGCUUCUUGGUAGCACUGGUUUGCAUUAGUUCAUGUUUCCACGCCAGAGUAUGUGUGGGCGGGCGCGUGUGCAUCGCAGGGUGCACUCGAGGGGACUUUCAAUCACAGGAUUUCCUAUGUUGUCAUUGUCACACUUUGGCAUUUUUGUACAUCAGUGAAUUUUUUAUAUUAAAAGGUUGAGCCAAAGCCCCCAGUGUUUGUAUCUGAAGCCAGGCUUCACUUCUGAAGUGCCUACAGAGCUCUGCAGACGCAAUGCAGCUGCCACGAGCUCGCGGCCGUCCUUCCUCCUGCCAGGGGGUGGCACGUGCUCAGGAGGUCGUCAGUCUUAACUUUGCAGAAUUUUAAAUAAAAGACUUUGCACAUUGAA